This 76-nucleotide transfer RNA is filed under the name Herbiconiux daphne. RNAcentral's name for it is "tRNA-Thr". It matches the Rfam family "tRNA". From Rfam's summary of the family: Transfer RNA (tRNA) molecules are approximately 80 nucleotides in length. Their secondary structure includes four short double-helical elements and three loops (D, anti-codon, and T loops). RNAcentral also lists the same sequence under 1 other name. Lineage: Bacteria; Bacillati; Actinomycetota; Actinomycetes; Micrococcales; Microbacteriaceae. The record is from RNAcentral.
GCCUCGCUAGCUCAGCUGGCAGAGCAACUCACUAGUAAUGAGUAGGUCGGGAGUUCGAAUCUCUCGCGGGGCACCA